AAAGAAGUAGUUUAAUAGAGAAUUACGGCUUUGGGAGUUGUGGGUGCUGUUUCAGUCUUCUUUA
This 64-nucleotide transfer RNA is filed under the name Ophiarachnella infernalis. RNAcentral's name for it is "tRNA-Pro". Lineage: Eukaryota; Metazoa; Echinodermata; Ophiuroidea; Amphilepidida; Ophiodermatidae. The record is from RNAcentral.